Molecule: non-coding RNA, 933 nt
Filed under: Fejervarya cancrivora (crab-eating frog)
Lineage: Eukaryota; Metazoa; Chordata; Amphibia; Anura; Dicroglossidae
Description: 12S ribosomal RNA
Rfam family: Bacterial small subunit ribosomal RNA
Source: RNAcentral
CAAAGGUUUGGUCCUAGCCUUACUAUCAAUUGUCUCUCAAUUUACACAUGCAAGUCUCAGCACUCCCGUGAGGACGCCCUUUUCCCUUUACCAGGUUAAGGAGCUGAUAUCAGGCACACUUCACCGCCCACAACAUCUGGUCCCACCACACCCACAAGGGUAUUCAGCAGUGAUAAACAUUGUUCAUAAGCGUCAGCUUGACUCAGUCAGAGAGAAGAGGGCCGGCCAACUUGGUGCCAGCCGCCGCGGCUAUACCCACGGGCCCAAAUUGAUAAUACUCGGCGUUAAGCGUGAUUAAAGUCUGAUCAAAUUAGAGUUGAACCUACGAUCCAGCUGUAAAAAGCAUGCACUAGGGAAAACCGUAAACGAAAGUUACUCUAAUCUACACUUGAAUACACGACAACUAGGAAACAAACUGGGAUUAGAUACCCCACUAUGCCUAGUCGUAAAAUAUUAAAUUACACCCACAAGCGCCAGGGAACUACGAGCCUCAGCUUAAAACCCAAAGGACUUGACGGUGUCCCAUCCCACUAGAGGAGCCUGUCCUGUAAUCGAUGGUCCCCGAUUCACCUAACCUUUCUUUGCCCAUCAGCCUGUAUACCUCCGUCGUAAACUUACCAUAUGAAUGACACACAGUCUAGUUCAAAGAUCUAUUCAUCUAUACGUCAGGUCAAGGUGCAGCCUAUGGAAAGGUAAGAGAUGGGCUACAGUUUCUAAUCUAGAACAAACGAAGUACUGCAUGAAACACAGUCAUGAAGGAGGAUUUAGUAGUAAAGAGAAACUAGUGAGUUCUCUUUAACACGGCCCUGGGACACGUACACACCGCCCGUCGCCCUCUUUAACGAUCAUCAACCCGGUUUCUAACCCAAUAGCAUAGUAAAAAAGAGGUAAGUCGUAACAUGGUAAGUGUACUGGAAAGUGCACUUGGAUCAA